UCGAGCGAACGGACGAGAAGCUUGCUUCUCUGAUGUUAGCGGCGGACGGGUGAGUAACACGUGGAUAACCUACCUAUAAGACUGGGAUAACUUCGGGAAACCGGAGCUAAUACCGGAUAAUAUUUUGAACCGCAUGGUUCAAAAGUGAAAGACGGUCUUGCUGUCACUUAUAGAUGGAUCCGCGCUGCAUUAGCUAGUUGGUAAGGUAACGGCUUACCAAGGCAACGAUGCAUAGCCGACCUGAGAGGGUGAUCGGCCACACUGGAACUGAGACACGGUCCAGACUCCUACGGGAGGCAGCAGUAGGGAAUCUUCCGCAAUGGGCGAAAGCCUGACGGAGCAACGCCGCGUGAGUGAUGAAAGUCUUCGGAUCGUAAAACUCUGUUAUUAGGGAAGAACAUAUGUGUAAGUAACUGUGCACAUCUUGACGGUACCUAAUCAGAAAGCCACGGCUAACUACGUGCCAGCAGCCGCGGUAAUACGUAGGUGGCAAGCGUUAUCCGGAAUUAUUGGGCGUAAAGCGCGCGUAGGCGGUUUUUUAAGUCUGAUGUGAAAGCCCACGGCUCAACCGUGGAGGGUCAUUGGAAACUGGAAAACUUGAGUGCAGAAGAGGAAAGUGGAAUUCCAUGUGUAGCGGUGAAAUGCGCAGAGAUAUGGAGGAACACCAGUGGCGAAG
Molecule: ribosomal RNA, 676 nt
Filed under: uncultured Staphylococcus sp.
Lineage: Bacteria; Bacillati; Bacillota; Bacilli; Caryophanales; Staphylococcaceae
Description: bacterial SSU rRNA
Rfam family: Bacterial small subunit ribosomal RNA
Source: RNAcentral